Molecule: long non-coding RNA, 416 nt
Filed under: Macaca mulatta (Rhesus monkey)
Lineage: Eukaryota; Metazoa; Chordata; Mammalia; Primates; Cercopithecidae
Description: lncRNA (ENSMMUG00000056797.1)
Source: RNAcentral
UAUAGUUGGUCAGAUCUCAGGGACCUGCAUUUCACUGUCUCCAGAAGCACAUUUCAACUCUCUUUAAGCAAGGAGAAUCUGAAGGUGUGACCUUCCCAUUCUUCUGUGACAAACCUGGUGCUGCCCAGCAGAGUGGAAAGAGCAUGUUUUUUUGCAGUAAGUUCCAACGGCAGCUCCACCAGGCUGAGGAGGAAGCUCUGUUGUGACCAGCAUCUUGGACCACCAGUGAUAUGUCUGCCUGAACAGACCGAGGAAAUGACUUUCACUCACUGAAGUCCAUAUUCUUUCUGCUGGGGGAGAAUCCAGGUAGCUACAGGCCUCUGUCUGGCAGGGGUGUACAAUGGUGAGUGGUGAGGCAGCAUCCUGACCCAGAGACCAGUUGGUUGCCCUGCACUCUGACAGGGAGGUGGGACCCU